ACCCGCACAAGCGGUGGAUGAUGUGAAUUAAUUCGAUGCAACGCCGAAGAACCUUACCUACCCUUGACAUGUCCGGAACUUGCCAGAGAUGGCUUGGUGCCCGAAAGGGAAUCGGAACACAGGUGCUGCGUGGCUGUCGUCAGCUCGUGUCGUGAGAUGUUGGGUUAAGUCCCGCAACGAGCGCAACCCUUAUCAUUAGUUGCUACGCAAGGGCACUCUAAUGAGACUGCCGGUGACAAACCGGAGGAAGGUGGGAUGACGUCAAGUCCUCAUGGCCCUUAUGGGUAGGGCUUCACACGCCAUACAAUGGUCGGUACAGAGGGUUGCCAAGCCGCGAGGUGGAGCCAAUCUCAGAAAGCCGAUCGUAGUCCGGAUUGUUCUCUGCAACUCGAGAGCAUGAAGUCGGAAUCGCUAGUAAUCGCAGAUCAGCAUGUCGCGGUGAAUACGUUCCCGGGUCUU
RNAcentral lists this ribosomal RNA (459 nucleotides) under uncultured Thiobacillus sp. RNAcentral describes it as "bacterial SSU rRNA". It matches the Rfam family "Bacterial small subunit ribosomal RNA", at positions 919 to 1382 of the family's 1533-position model. The record is from RNAcentral. Lineage: Bacteria; Pseudomonadati; Pseudomonadota; Betaproteobacteria; Nitrosomonadales; Thiobacillaceae.